Long non-coding RNA from Oncorhynchus tshawytscha (Chinook salmon), 1183 nucleotides. Lineage: Eukaryota; Metazoa; Chordata; Actinopteri; Salmoniformes; Salmonidae. The record is from Ensembl.
GUAGUGGUGCAGUAGGGGCCUGAGGGCCACAGUGUGUUGUAGAUAUGUGGUAGUGGUGGAGUAGGGGCCUGAGGACACACAGUGUGUUGUAGAUAUGUGGUAGUGGUGCAGUAGGGGCCUGAGGACACACAGUGUGUUGUAGAUAUGUGGUAGUGGUGGAGGAGGGGUCUGAGGGCACACAGUGUGUUGUAGAUAUGUGGUAGUGGUGGUGUAGGGGCCUGAGGGCACACAGUGUGUUGUAGAUAUGUGGUAGUGGUGGAGUAGGGGCCUGAGGGCACACAGUGUGUUGUAGAUAUGUGGUAGUGGUGGAGUAGGGGCCUGAGGGCACACAGUGUGUUGUAGAUGGGUCUGAGGGCACACAGUGUGUUGUAGAUGUGUGGUAGUGGUGGAGUAGGGGCCUGAGGGCACACAGUGUGUUGUAGAUAUGUGGUAGUGGUGGAGUAGGGGCCUGAGGGCACACAGUGUGUUGUAGAUAUGUGGUAGUGGUGGAGUAGGGGUCUGAGGGCACACAGUGUACUGUAGAUAUGUGGUAGUGGUGGAGUAGGGGCCUGAGGGCACACAGUGUGUUGUAGAUAUGUGGUAGUGGUGAAGUAGGGGCCUGAGGGCACACAGUGUGUUGUAGAUAUGUGGUAGUGGUGGAGUAGGGGCCUGAGGACACACAGUGUGUUGUAGAUAUGUGGUAGUGGUGGAGUAGGGGUCUGAGGGCACACAGUGUGUUGUAGAUGUGUGGUAGUGGUGGAGUAGGGGCCUGAGGGCACACAGUGUGUUGUAGAUAUGUGGUAGUGGUGGAGUAGGGGCCUGAGGGCACACAGUGUGUUGUAGAUAUGUGGUAGUGGUGGAGUAGGGGUCUGAGGGCACACAGUGUGUUGUAGAUAUGUGGUAGUGGUGGAGGAGGGGUCUGAGGGCACACAGUGUGUUGUAGAUGUGUGGUAGUGGUGGAGUAGGGGCCUGAGGACACACAGUGUGUUGUAGAUAUGUGGUAGUGGUGCAGUAGGGGCCUGAGGACACACAGUGUGUUGUAGAUAUGUGGUAGUGGUGGAGUAGGGUCCUGAGGGCACACAGUGUGUUGUAGAUAUGUGGUAGUGGUGGAGUAGGGGCCUGAGGGCACACAGUGUGUUGUAGAUAUGUGGUAGUGGUGCAGUAGGGGCCUGAGGACACACAGUGUGUUGUAGAUAUGUGGUAG